UCUCCGUUGGUGAACCAGCGGAGGGAUCAUUAAAGAAUUCUAUAACUCCCAAACCCAUGUGAACAUACCUUACGUUGCCUCGGCAGGUCGCGCCUACCCCGUAACGUCCUACCCUGUAGGACCUACCCGGUAGACGCGGGUAAGCCUGCCGGCGGCCCACGAAACUCUGUUUAAUAUUGAAUUCUGAACCUAAAACUAAAUAAGUUAAAACUUUCAACAACGGAUCUCUUGGUUCUG
RNAcentral lists this unclassified non-coding RNA (237 nucleotides) under plant metagenome. RNAcentral describes it as "partial contains small subunit ribosomal RNA, internal transcribed spacer 1, and 5.8S ribosomal RNA". The record is from RNAcentral.